GUGCUUGCUUCAGCAGCACAGAUAUUAAAAUUGGAAUGAUACAGAGAGUUAGCAUGGUGCCUGCACAAGGAUGACAUGCAGAUUCAUGAAGCAUUCCAUAUUUAA
This is a small nuclear RNA of Ursus americanus (American black bear), 105 nucleotides long. NCBI's taxonomy places the organism in Eukaryota, Metazoa, Chordata, Mammalia, Carnivora, Ursidae. The record is from Ensembl.